GUGCCAGCCGCCGCGGUAAUACCGGCAGCCCAAGUGAUGGCCGAUAUUAUUGGGCCUAAAGCGUCCGUAGCUGGCCAGCCAAGUCUGUUGGGAAAUCCACGUGCUCAACGCGUGGGCGUCCAGCGGAAACUGUCUGGCUUGGAGCCGGAGGACUCGGGGGGUACGUCCGGGGUAGGAGUGAAAUCCCGUAAUCCUGGACGGACCACCGAUGGCGAAAGCGCCUCGAGAGGACGGACCCGACAGUGAGGGACGAAAGCCAGGGUCUCGAACCGGAUUAGAAACCCUUGUAGUCC
Molecule: ribosomal RNA, 293 nt
Filed under: uncultured bacterium
Lineage: Bacteria
Description: partial 16S ribosomal RNA
Rfam family: Archaeal small subunit ribosomal RNA
Source: RNAcentral